This 76-nucleotide transfer RNA is filed under the name Faecalibacterium sp. CAG:74. Its description in RNAcentral is "transfer RNA-Ala(GGC)". It matches the Rfam family "tRNA". Rfam says of the family: Transfer RNA (tRNA) molecules are approximately 80 nucleotides in length. The record is from RNAcentral. RNAcentral also lists the same sequence under 2 other names. Lineage: Bacteria; Bacillati; Bacillota; Clostridia; Eubacteriales; Oscillospiraceae.
GGGGCAUUAGCGCAGCUGGUAGCGCACAACACUGGCAGUGUUGGGGUCAGCGGUUCGAAUCCGCUAUGCUCCACGA